This 492-nucleotide ribosomal RNA is filed under the name uncultured bacterium. RNAcentral describes it as "partial 16S ribosomal RNA". It matches the Rfam family "Bacterial small subunit ribosomal RNA", at positions 29 to 507 of the family's 1533-position model. The record is from RNAcentral.
AGUGAACGCUGGCGGUAGGCCUAACACAUGCAAGCCGAACGGCAGCACAGUAAGAGCUUGCUCUUACGGGUGGCGAGUGGCGGACGGGUGAGGAAUACAUCGGAAUCUACUUUUUCGUGGGGGAUAACGUAGGGAAACUUACGCUAAUACCGCAUACGACCUACGGGUGAAAGCAGGGGAUCUUCGGACCUUGCGCGAUUGAAUGAGCCGAUGUCGGAUUAGCUAGUUGGCGGGGUAAAGGCCCACCAAGGCGACGAUCCGUAGCUGGUCUGAGAGGAUGAUCAGCCACACUGGAACUGAGACACGGUCCAGACUCCUACGGGAGGCAGCAGUGGGGAAUAUUGGACAAUGGGCGCAAGCCUGAUCCAGCCAUACCGCGUGGGUGAAGAAGGCCUUCGAGUUGUAAAGCCCUUUUGUUGGGAAAGAAAAGCAGCAGGUUAAUACCCCGCUGUUCUGACGGUACCCAAAGAAUAGGCACCGGCUAACUUCGUG